ACACAUCCAAGUGGGCGGUGAAGCCAAGCUUGCUUGGUGGAUCAGUGGCGAACGGGUGAGUAACACGUGAGCAACCUGCCCUGAACUCUGGGAUAAGCGCUGGAAACGGCGUCUAAUACUGGAUAUGAGCUGCGGAGGCAUCUUCGUGGUUGGAAAGAUUUUUCGGUUUGGGAUGGGCUCGCGGCCUAUCAGCUUGUUGGUGAGGUAAUGGCUCACCAAGGCGUCGACGGGUAGCCGGCCUGAGAGGGUGACCGGCCACACUGGGACUGAGACACGGCCCAGACUCCUACGGGAGGCAGCAGUGGGGAAUAUUGCACAAUGGGCGGAAGCCUGAUGCAGCAACGCCGCGUGAGGGAUGACGGCCUUCGGGUUGUAAACCUCUUUUAGCAGGGAAGAAGCGAAAGUGACGGUACCUGCAGAAAAAGCGCCGGCUAACUACGUGCCAGCAGCCGCGGUAAUACGUAGGGCGCAAGCGUUAUCCGGAAUUAUUGGGCGUAAAGAGCUCGUAGGCGGUUUGUCGCGUCUGCUGUGAAAUCUGGGGGCUCAACCCCCAGCCUGCAGUGGGUACGGGCAGACUAGAGUGCGGUAGGGGAGAUUGGAAUUCCUGGUGUAGCGGUGGAAUGCGCAGAUAUCAGGAGGAACACCGAUGGCGAAGGCAGAUCUCUGGGCCGUAACUGACGCUAAGGAGGCGAAAGGGUGGGGAAGCAAACAGGCUUAGAUACCCUGGUAGUCCACCCCGUAACCUUGGGAACUAGUUGUGGGGUCCAUUCCACGGAUUCCGUGACGCAGCUAACGCAUUAAGUUCCCCGCCUGGGGAGUACGGCCGCAAGGCUAAAACUCAAAGGAAUUGACGGGGACCCGCACAAGCGGCGGAGCAUGCGGAUUAAUUCGAUGCAACGCGAAGAACCUUACCAAGGCUUGACAUACACGAGAACGCUGCAGAAAUGUAGAACUCUUUGGACACUCGUGAACAGGUGGUGCAUGGUUGUCGUCAGCUCGUGUCGUGAGAUGUUGGGUUAAGUCCCGCAACGAGCGCAACCCUCGUUCUAUGUUGCCAGCACGUAAUGGUGGGAACUCAUGGGAUACUGCCGGGGUCAACUCGGAGGAAGGUGGGGAUGACGUCAAAUCAUCAUGCCCCUUAUGUCUUGGGCUUCACGCAUGCUACAAUGGCCGGUACAAAGGGCUGCAAUACCGCGAGGUGGAGCGAAUCCCAAAAAGCCGGUCCCAGUUCGGAUUGAGGUCUGCAACUCGACCUCAUGAAGUCGGAGUCGCUAGUAAUCGCAGAUCAGCAACGCUGCGGUGAAUACGUUCCCGGGUCUUGUACACACCGCCCGUCAAGUCAUGAAAGUCGGUAACACCUGAAGCCGGUGGCCCAACCCUUGUGGAGGGAGCCGUCGAAGGUGGGAUCGGUAAC
This is a ribosomal RNA of 1414 nucleotides. It matches the Rfam family "Bacterial small subunit ribosomal RNA".